AGCGUACACGGUGGAUGCCCUGGCAGUCAGAGGCGAUGAAGGACGUGCUAAUCUGCGAUAAGCGUCGGUAAGGUGAUAUGAACCGUUAUAACCGGCGAUUUCCGAAUGGGGAAACCCAGUGUGAUUCGUCACACUAUCAUUAACUGAAUCCAUAGGUUAAUGAGGCGAACCGGGGGAACUGAAACAUCUAAGUACCCCGAGGAAAAGAAAUCAACCGAGAUUCCCCCAGUAGCGGCGAGCGAACGGGGAGCAGCCCAGAGCCUGAAUCAGUGUGUGUGUUAGUGGAAGCGUCUGGAAAGGCGCGCGAUACAGGGUGACAGCCCCGUACACAAAAAUGCACAUACUGUGAGCUCGAUGAGUAGGGCGGGACACGUGGUAUCCUGUCUGAAUAUGGGGGGACCAUCCUCCAAGGCUAAAUACUCCUGACUGACCGAUAGUGAACCAGUACCGUGAGGGAAAGGCGAAAAGAACCCCGGCGAGGGGAGUGAAAAAGAACCUGAAACCGUGUACGUACAAGCAGUGGGAGCACAGAGCAAUCUGUGUGACUGCGUACCUUUUGUAUAAUGGGUCAGCGACUUAUAUUCUGUAGCAAGGUUAACCGAAUAGGGGAGCCGAAGGGAAACCGAGUCUUAACUGGGCGUUAAGUUGCAGGGUAUAGACCCGAAACCCGGUGAUCUAGCCAUGGGCAGGUUGAAGGUUGGGUAACACUAACUGGAGGACCGAACCGACUAAUGUUGAAAAAUUAGCGGAUGACUUGUGGCUGGGGGUGAAAGGCCAAUCAAACCGGGAGAUAGCUGGUUCUCCCCGAAAGCUAUUUAGGUAGCGCCUCGUGAAUUCAUCUCCGGGGGUAGAGCACUGUUUCGGCAAGGGGGUCAUCCCGACUUACCAACCCGAUGCAAACUGCGAAUACCGGAGAAUGUUAUCACGGGAGACACACGGCGGGUGCUAACGUCCGUCGUGAAGAGGGAAACAACCCAGACCGCCAGCUAAGGUCCCAAAGUCAUGGUUAAGUGGGAAACGAUGUGGGAAGGCCCAGACAGCCAGGAUGUUGGCUUAGAAGCAGCCAUCAUUUAAAGAAAGCGUAAUAGCUCACUGGUCGAGUCGGCCUGCGCGGAAGAUGUAACGGGGCUAAACCAUGCACCGAAGCUGCGGCAGCGACGCUUAUGCGUUGUUGGGUAGGGGAGCGUUCUGUAAGCCUGCGAAGGUGUGCUGUGAGGCAUGCUGGAGGUAUCAGAAGUGCGAAUGCUGACAUAAGUAACGAUAAAGCGGGUGAAAAGCCCGCUCGCCGGAAGACCAAGGGUUCCUGUCCAACGUUAAUCGGGGCAGGGUGAGUCGACCCCUAAGGCGAGGCCGAAAGGCGUAGUCGAUGGGAAACAGGUUAAUAUUCCUGUACUUGGUGUUACUGCGAAGGGGGGACGGAGAAGGCUAUGUUGGCCGGGCGACGGUUGUCCCGGUUUAAGCGUGUAGGCUGGUUUUCCAGGCAAAUCCGGAAAAUCAAGGCUGAGGCGUGAUGACGAGGCACUACGGUGCUGAAGCAACAAAUGCCCUGCUUCCAGGAAAAGCCUCUAAGCAUCAGGUAACAUCAAAUCGUACCCCAAACCGACACAGGUGGUCAGGUAGAGAAUACCAAGGCGCUUGAGAGAACUCGGGUGAAGGAACUAGGCAAAAUGGUGCCGUAACUUCGGGAGAAGGCACGCUGAUAUGUAGGUGAAGUCCCUCGCGGAUGGAGCUGAAAUCAGUCGAAGAUACCAGCUGGCUGCAACUGUUUAUUAAAAACACAGCACUGUGCAAACACGAAAGUGGACGUAUACGGUGUGACGCCUGCCCGGUGCCGGAAGGUUAAUUGAUGGGGUUAGCGCAAGCGAAGCUCUUGAUCGAAGCCCCGGUAAACGGCGGCCGUAACUAUAACGGUCCUAAGGUAGCGAAAUUCCUUGUCGGGUAAGUUCCGACCUGCACGAAUGGCGUAAUGAUGGCCAGGCUGUCUCCACCCGAGACUCAGUGAAAUUGAACUCGCUGUGAAGAUGCAGUGUACCCGCGGCAAGACGGAAAGACCCCGUGAACCUUUACUAUAGCUUGACACUGAACAUUGAGCCUUGAUGUGUAGGAUAGGUGGGAGGCUUUGAAGUGUGGACGCCAGUCUGCAUGGAGCCGACCUUGAAAUACCACCCUUUAAUGUUUGAUGUUCUAACGUUGACCCGUAAUCCGGGUUGCGGACAGUGUCUGGUGGGUAGUUUGACUGGGGCGGUCUCCUCCUAAAGAGUAACGGAGGAGCACGAAGGUUGGCUAAUCCUGGUCGGACAUCAGGAGGUUAGUGCAAUGGCAUAAGCCAGCUUGACUGCGAGCGUGACGGCGCGAGCAGGUGCGAAAGCAGGUCAUAGUGAUCCGGUGGUUCUGAAUGGAAGGGCCAUCGCUCAACGGAUAAAAGGUACUCCGGGGAUAACAGGCUGAUACCGCCCAAGAGUUCAUAUCGACGGCGGUGUUUGGCACCUCGAUGUCGGCUCAUCACAUCCUGGGGCUGAAGUAGGUCCCAAGGGUAUGGCUGUUCGCCAUUUAAAGUGGUACGCGAGCUGGGUUUAGAACGUCGUGAGACAGUUCGGUCCCUAUCUGCCGUGGGCGCUGGAGAACUGAGGGGGGCUGCUCCUAGUACGAGAGGACCGGAGUGGACGCAUCACUGGUGUUCGGGUUGUCAUGCCAAUGGCACUGCCCGGUAGCUAAAUGCGGAAGAGAUAAGUGCUGAAAGCAUCUAAGCACGAAACUUGCCCCGAGAUGAGUUCU
Molecule: ribosomal RNA, 2775 nt
Filed under: Escherichia coli
Lineage: Bacteria; Pseudomonadati; Pseudomonadota; Gammaproteobacteria; Enterobacterales; Enterobacteriaceae
Description: bacterial LSU rRNA
Rfam family: Bacterial large subunit ribosomal RNA
Source: RNAcentral